This 468-nucleotide ribosomal RNA is filed under the name uncultured bacterium. Its description in RNAcentral is "partial 16S ribosomal RNA". It matches the Rfam family "Bacterial small subunit ribosomal RNA", at positions 28 to 507 of the family's 1533-position model. The record is from RNAcentral.
GACGAACGCUGGCGGCGUGCUUAACACAUGCAAGUCGAACGGAAAGGCCCUGCUUUUGUGGGGUGCUCGAGUGGCGAACGGGUGAGUAACACGUGAGUAACCUGCCCUUGACUUUGGGAUAACUUCAGGAAACUGGGGCUAAUACCGGAUAGGAGCUCCUGCUGCAUGGUGGGGGUUGGAAAGUUUCGGCGGUUGGGGAUGGACUCGCGGCUUAUCAGCUUGUUGGUGGGGUAGUGGCUUACCAAGGCUUUGACGGGUAGCCGGCCUGAGAGGGUGACCGGCCACAUUGGGACUGAGAUACGGCCCAGACUCCUACGGGAGGCAGCAGUGGGGAAUAUUGCACAAUGGGCGGAAGCCUGAUGCAGCAACGCCGCGUGCGGGAUGACGGCCUUCGGGUUGUAAACCGCUUUCACCUGUGACGAAGUGUGAGUGACGGUAAUGGGUAAAGAAGCACCGGCUAACUACGUG